This 461-nucleotide ribosomal RNA is filed under the name uncultured Sphingobacteriales bacterium. Its description in RNAcentral is "bacterial SSU rRNA". It matches the Rfam family "Bacterial small subunit ribosomal RNA", at positions 920 to 1382 of the family's 1533-position model. Lineage: Bacteria; Pseudomonadati; Bacteroidota; Sphingobacteriia; Sphingobacteriales. The record is from RNAcentral.
CCCGCACAAGCGGAGGAGCAUGUGGUUUAAUUCGAUGAUACGCGAGGAGCCUUACCUGGGCUCGAACGUAAGAUGACUGUAGGUGAAAGCUUACAUCUCUUCGGAGCAUUUUACGAGGUGCUGCAUGGUUGUCGUCAGCUCGUGCCGUGAGGUGUCGGGUUAAGUCCCAUAACGAGCGCAACCCUACCUUUAGUUGCCAUCAGGUAAUGCUGGGGACUCUAAAGGAACUGCCUACGCAAGUAGUGAGGAAGGCGGGGAUGACGUCAAAUCAGCACGGCCCUUACGUCCAGGGCUACACACGUGCUACAAUGGCCGAUACAGAGGGCAGCUACCUGGUGACAGGAUGCAAAUCUCCAAAGUCGGUCUCAGUUCGGAUCGGAGUCUGCAACCCGACUCCGUGAAGUUGGAUUCGCUAGUAAUCGCGCAUCAGCCAUGGCGCGGUGAAUACGUUCCCGGGCCUU